ACCUCCUUUCCAGCUCCUGUGCUUUCUCCUUAGACAAAGCUCCCCAUCUAAUCCGCGGUUGAUCCUGGGCGCCCCUCCGCUUCUUCUUCACCCAGAGAUCGACAUCCAUCACUAGUAGUCUAUGAAGAGCUGAAAGAGACUCUCCCGGAAUAACCUUGCAGUCCUUGCACAAGCUCCUAUCGCUCCUUCGGAUGAGGAUGUAGUCAAUUUGAGUCCUCGCCGCCGAACUCUUGAAGGUGACCAAAUGCUCCUCCCUCUUCCGGAAUGUCGAGUUCGCAAUCAGGAGCUCGGAAGCCCUGGCGA
Molecule: long non-coding RNA, 303 nt
Filed under: Nicotiana benthamiana
Lineage: Eukaryota; Viridiplantae; Streptophyta; Magnoliopsida; Solanales; Solanaceae
Description: long non-coding RNA (NBEN_LNC034229)
Source: RNAcentral